Molecule: transfer RNA, 75 nt
Filed under: Myxococcales bacterium
Lineage: Bacteria; Pseudomonadati; Myxococcota; Myxococcia; Myxococcales
Description: tRNA-Thr
Rfam family: tRNA
About the family: Transfer RNA (tRNA) molecules are approximately 80 nucleotides in length. Their secondary structure includes four short double-helical elements and three loops (D, anti-codon, and T loops).
Source: RNAcentral
GCCGAUGUAGCUCAGUGGUAGAGCAGCGGUUUCGUAAACCGCAGGUCCGCGGAUCAUACCCGCGCAUCGGCUCCA